Molecule: unclassified non-coding RNA, 209 nt
Filed under: uncultured bacterium
Lineage: Bacteria
Description: contains 16S-23S intergenic spacer region
Source: RNAcentral
GCCACCGCCAACCCGUCGCGCACUACGCCGUACUCAAAGCCAACGUCGACCGCCUCCACCUGAUUCAGAUCGGCCUUACCCUUUCCGACAACGCCGGAAACCUUCCCACCCUCGGCACCUCCAACGCCUUCAUCUGGGAAUUCAACUUCAAAGAUUUCGACGUCGCGCGUGACGCCCACGCUCACGACUCUGUGGAGUUGCUGCGCCGC